UAUCAAUAAGCGGAGGAAAAGAAACUAACAAGGAUUCCCCUAGUAACGGCGAGUGAACCGGGAAGAGCUCAAAUUUGAAAUCUGGCGUGCUCAGUGCGUCCGAGUUGUAAUCUAUAGAGUCGUUUUCCGUGCCGGACUGUGUCCAAGUCCCUUGGAACAGGGUAUCAAAGAGGGUGAUAAUCCCGUACUUGACACAAUGACCGGUGCUCUGUGAUACGUCUUCUACGAGUCGAGUUGUUUGGGAAUGCAGCUCAAAAUGGGUGGUGAGUUCCAUCUAAAGCUAAAUAUUGGCGAGAGACCGAUAGCGAACAAGUACCGUGAGGGAAAGAUGAAAAGCACUUUGGAAAGAGAGUUAAACAGUACGUGAAAUUGUUAAAAGGGAAACGAUUGAAGUCAGUCGUGACUGAGAGGCUCAGCCGGUUCUGCCGGUGUAUUCCCCUCAGUCGGGUCAACAUCAGUUUUGUUCGGUGGAUAAGGGCAGUUGGAAGGUGGCACCCUCGGGUGUGUUAUAGCCAGCUGUCGCAUACAUCGGAUGAGACUGAGGAAUGCAGCUCGCCUUUAUGGCCGGGGUUCGCCCACGUUCGAGCUUAGGAUGUUGACAUAAUGGCUUUAAACGACCCGUCUUGAAACAACGGACC
Molecule: ribosomal RNA, 638 nt
Filed under: Papiliotrema flavescens
Lineage: Eukaryota; Fungi; Basidiomycota; Tremellomycetes; Tremellales; Rhynchogastremaceae
Description: eukaryotic LSU rRNA
Rfam family: Eukaryotic large subunit ribosomal RNA
Source: RNAcentral